UGUUGCUUGUAAAACCUGUCGCUAUGUUUUUAUGUACGACAGCCACAAAACUGAUCUGUCUGUAAAAACAGGGGUGUAGCUACCUUUCAGCUGGUGGCAUGAAAGGAAUAGACGGGUUGCAGGUUGGGGUCGGGUCCUGUAUUAGCGGGUCCUGGUCACAAAAAUCCGACCCACGCAGGACCACCACUAGCGUUUUCAAGCAAUACUGCAUCUGAGGGACCAAGAUCAAGCAAGGAGGUGGAGAUGCAUUGUCGCUGUGGGAAGUACACCACUCUCGUGCCCUGUCACAAGGAGUACCUGUGUGAAUCAAAAUGUCCUAAAACAAGAAACUGCCAGAGGCACCAGUGUAAAAGAAGGGAAUGCGCCGACAGGUCAUCACACAAGCCGAGAGAGACAUCACUGCCACUUUGGCACCUGCCCAUUGUGCAGACAGCCUUGCAGAGAGUGCUGAAGACAUGCUGACACGUCUGUCCAGCUCCAAGCCAUGAUGAAGUGAUGGUCAAACAGACUCUGAAAGUACAGAAACAGCAACACCAUUUUGUAUUUGGCAGCCAUGCUACAUUCUUGAUUUUUUUUUUUUUACAAGCUCACAGAAUCGACUGCAUAUCCUGGUUGUCUUUUGUCUCUUUUUUAGAUUCAUUCACCUCCUCAGUACAUUAUGUUUUUGACUUCUACUUAAUUAAUUCCA
Polyodon spathula (Mississippi paddlefish) is the source of this 688-nucleotide long non-coding RNA. RefSeq lists it as uncharacterized. The record is from RefSeq and is a predicted model, not a curated record. NCBI's taxonomy places the organism in Eukaryota, Metazoa, Chordata, Actinopteri, Acipenseriformes, Polyodontidae. The transcript is spliced from 3 exons.